This 611-nucleotide ribosomal RNA is filed under the name Xylodon kunmingensis. Its description in RNAcentral is "partial small subunit ribosomal RNA". It matches the Rfam family "Bacterial small subunit ribosomal RNA", at positions 362 to 948 of the family's 1533-position model. Lineage: Eukaryota; Fungi; Basidiomycota; Agaricomycetes; Hymenochaetales; Schizoporaceae. The record is from RNAcentral.
UAUUAGUCAAUGCUCGCAAGAGUGAACUAGCUAACUGAAAUCAAAAGUGUGUCACUUUUGAUAAGGUAAGGGAAAAGAAAUGAUACUACCUUACUAUUAGUGUCGUCCAAGUACUCGUGCCAGAAGACUCGGUAAGGCGAGAGACGCAAACGUUAGUCGUCCUAAUCAGGCGUAAAGGGUUUGUAGGCGGCUUUGAGAAUUCAUUCUUUUUAAAUUACACAAUUCUCUCCCAAAAAGAAAGAAAACAAUAAAGAAUGAGUCAAUUAAAGCUAGAAUCAAAUAGAGGUCAAAUUAAAUAAUACUUGGUGUAAGAUUGGUAUCUUUAAAAACCAAGCGGAAUUCUAACGGCGAAGGCUUUUUUCCAAUAAUGAUUGACGCUGAGAAACUAAGGUGAGGACAGAAAAAAGGAUUAGAGACCCUCGUAUUCCUCACUGUCAACGAUGAAUGGUAGUUACUAGAUAAACAAUCAAAUCAAUUUCAAAGAUUGAAAUGAAAUCUAUUCUAGAAGCGAUGUUAACACGAAAACCAUUCCGCCUUGUGAGUACGACUGCAAAGUUGAAAACAAAAAAAUUAGUCGGUUUCGGAGCAAACGAAGUGAAGCAUGUUAUUUA